UACGUAGGGGGCAAGCGUUGUCCGGAUUUAUUGGGCGUAAAGAGCGUGUAGGCGGCUUUGCAAGUCCGUUGUGAAAACUCGAGGCUCAACCUCGAGACGCCGGUGGAAACUGCAAAGCUAGAGUCCGGAAGAGGAGAGUGGAAUUCCUGGUGUAGCGGUGAAAUGCGCAGAUAUCAGGAAGAACACCCGUGGCGAAGGCGGCUCUCUGGGACGGUACUGACGCUGAGACGCGAAAGCGUGGGGAGCAAACAGG
This 253-nucleotide ribosomal RNA is filed under the name uncultured bacterium. RNAcentral describes it as "partial 16S ribosomal RNA". It matches the Rfam family "Bacterial small subunit ribosomal RNA", at positions 524 to 776 of the family's 1533-position model. The record is from RNAcentral.